Molecule: long non-coding RNA, 1320 nt
Filed under: Numida meleagris (helmeted guineafowl)
Lineage: Eukaryota; Metazoa; Chordata; Aves; Galliformes; Numididae
Description: lncRNA (ENSNMEG00000021649.1)
Source: RNAcentral
CAGGGUUUGUGGAAGGAGCCGAGGCUCAGGUGUACACCCCAGCACCGCUCGUGUUAACGUGGGCUCUGCAGCAGCACUCAGUGCUCAGGCAAAACUCGCACCGAACCCAGCUGUGUUUGGACUGAACUUGCCGGAGUUCUGCUUGAGAAAGGGCACUGAGAAAUAAUAACGUUUUGUAAAAGGAAUUCAUAUACUUUAAUUGUUGAUAUUUUCCCUUCCGAAAACUCACUGAGAGAUCUGCACCGGCAUUUAGGAUAUAUUGCAUAGUUCUCAAUAGUACAUCAGCCCCAGGGAAGGUGCAGGCACGUACCUAUUGCACAGUGCAGAACUCAAGACGGCGAUAGACAACUGUGGAUGCGCACACGCACACCCGCGCACCCCGCAGCACCCCUCGGCGGGCUUUGCCCCACACUUCCCCGUGCCGCCCCCCGCCCCCCGCACAGCGCAGCGCCUGGGUGACGGGGUCAGGCGUGGCGGGAGCGGGGGAGCGGGAGGUGAAGAGCAGCAGCGGGCUCGGGGCUGGCUGCGGCUGCUCGCUGGGCUGAGCGGCUGUGCCCAGAGGGCGGAGUUCCCGCACGCUGCUGCCUCACCGGAGAACCUGCCCUCGGCGCAGCGCUCCGCAACCGGGACCCCACCGCCACCGCCCUCCCCGCGCCGCUCCGUGUGGACCCGCGUCCUCCUCCGCUCGGGGAACCGGGAGGUAGCGGAGCCGCGCUGCCCCCAGUCCUCGUCCUCAUGCGGGGUUCCCGAGCACCUCUCACACCGCAGAGCGUUUUAGUUCCUUUAUUAACGCUUUGCCGCUGCUCCGCUGGCACCGACGCCGGAGAAAACACCACCCGCCAGGAGCGGGGCUGCGUCCGUUCUCGGAGCCGCAGGAGAAGCUGCGGGCGGCGGGGGACGGACGCUUCGUCGGCUGCGGGUAUUUUCCGUGGCGGCCGUUCCGAGGGGGGCUCCGCUUCAUCACAGUUUUCUCAGCUUCGGCAGCUCUGGCGCGACCGUCCCGCCGGCGAGAGGUACGGGCGGUGUGAGCCGGGCCGGGGAGGGAUACCGCCUCCCAUAGCCGUACCGGGGGUCCCGAGUACAAGUUGGGCGGAGGGAAAGGGAUCGUCCCGUGGUGCCGCUCAGCGGAGAGCCCUUGGCUUCUCCCUCGUACUUUCGGCAAGUUUGGUUGUUUCUGAUUUCCGCCCCCCCUCCAGCAACUGCUGCUUUGCAACCUGCAGAGAUAAGGCGGCCUCGCAUCAGAUGAUCGCAGAGAUAAGUAAUCUCUCCCCUUGGUCCGUGCUAAAGCUGACCGUACGCGCUCGAAUCUCAGAGCGCUAA